RNAcentral lists this ribosomal RNA (253 nucleotides) under uncultured bacterium. RNAcentral's name for it is "partial 16S ribosomal RNA". It matches the Rfam family "Bacterial small subunit ribosomal RNA", at positions 524 to 776 of the family's 1533-position model. The record is from RNAcentral.
UACGAAGGGGGCUAGCGUUGCUCGGAAUGACUGGGCGUAAAGGGCGCGUAGGCGGAUGGCACAAUCAGAUGUGAAAUUCCCGGGCUUAACCUGGGGGCUGCAUUUGAUACGUGUUGUCUAGAGUGAGGAAGAGGGUUGUGGAAUUCCCAGUGUAGAGGUGAAAUUCGUAGAUAUUGGGAAGAACACCGGUGGCGAAGGCGGCAACCUGGUCCUUGACUGACGCUGAGGCGCGAAAGCGUGGGGAGCAAACAGG